Molecule: ribosomal RNA, 499 nt
Filed under: uncultured bacterium
Lineage: Bacteria
Description: partial 16S ribosomal RNA
Rfam family: Bacterial small subunit ribosomal RNA
Source: RNAcentral
ACUCAAAGGAAUAGACGGGGGCCCGCACAAGCGGUGGAUUAUGUGGUUUAAUUCGAAGCAACGCGCAGAACCUUACCUAGGCUUGAACUCCUCAGAAUUUGGGGUAAUGCCUAAAGUGCCCGCAAGGGAAUUGAGUGAGAGGUGCUGCAUGGCUGUCGUCAGCUCGUGUUGUGAAAUGUUGGGUUAAGUCUCGCAACGAGCGCAACCCCUAUCGUCUGUUGCCAGCAUUAAGUUGGGCACUCUGGCGAGACUGCCUGGGUUAACCAGGAGGAAGGUGGGGAUGACGUCAAGUCCUCAUGGCCCUUAUGUCUAGGGCUACACACGUAAUACAAUGGCAUGUACAGAGGGAAGCGAACUCGCGAGGGGGAGCAAAUCUCAAAAAGCAUGUCUCAGUCCGGAUUGGAGUCUGCAACUCGACUCCAUGAAGUUGGAAUCGCUAGUAAUCGUGGAUCAGCACGCCACGGUGAAUACGUUCCCGGGCCUUGUACACACCGCCCGU